RNAcentral lists this ribosomal RNA (343 nucleotides) under uncultured bacterium. RNAcentral describes it as "bacterial SSU rRNA". It matches the Rfam family "Bacterial small subunit ribosomal RNA", at positions 32 to 368 of the family's 1533-position model. The record is from RNAcentral.
AAUCAACGCUGGCGGCGUGCCUCAGACAUGCAAGUCGAACGAUUAAAGCUCUCUUCGGAGAGUGCAUAAAGUGGCGCACGGGUGAGUAACACGUAAGUAAUCUACCUUCGAGUGGGGAAUAACGUCCGGAACGGACGCUAAUACCGCAUAACGCAGCGGCAUCGCAAGAUGACAGCUGUUAAAGAUUUAUCGCUUGAAGAGGAGCUUGCGGCAGAUUAGCUUGUUGGUAAGGUAACGGCUUACCAAGGCUACGAUCUGUAUCCGGUCUAAGAGGACGGUCGGACACACUGACACUGAAUAACGGGUCAGACUCCUACGGGAGGCAGCAGUCGGGAAUUUUGGG